AGCUCAAAUUUGAAAUCUGGCAGUCUUCGAUUGUCCGAGUUGUAAUCUAUAGAGGCGUUUUCCGUGCCGGACCGUGUCCAAGUCUCCUGGAAAGGAGUAUCAAAGAGGGUGAUAAUCCCGUACUUAACACGACCACCGGUGCUCUGUGAUACGUCUUCUACGAGUCGAGUUGUUUGGGAAUGCAGCUCAAAAUGGGUGGUGAAUUCCAUCUAAAGCUAAAUAUUGGCGAGAGACCGAUAGCGAACAAGUACCGUGAGGGAAAGAUGAAAAGCACUUUGGAAAGAGAGUUAAACAGUACGUGAAAUUGUUGAAAGGGAAACGAUUGAAGUCAGUCGUGUUCUUUGGAUUCAGCCAGUUCUGCUGGUCUACUUCCUUGGAACGGGUCAACAUCAGUUUUGUCCGGUGGAUAAAGGUAGUAGGAAUGUGACUUCUCCGGAAGUGUUAUAGCCUAUUAUCACAUACACUGGGUGAGACUGAGGACUGCAGCUCGCCUUUAUGGCCGGCCUUCGGGC
Molecule: ribosomal RNA, 512 nt
Filed under: Trichosporon asahii
Lineage: Eukaryota; Fungi; Basidiomycota; Tremellomycetes; Trichosporonales; Trichosporonaceae
Description: eukaryotic LSU rRNA
Rfam family: Eukaryotic large subunit ribosomal RNA
Source: RNAcentral